UGCUGACUGGCUCUGUAAUCUUCAAACAGUAAACGCGUUUGGUGGGUCCGCCGCUUGCCUUGACGAAUAGGCCCUCCAGGCCCACUUUAAGGUCGGGCAGGCGGAGGCGAGCAGGGUCCUGGGAUUUGGAGUGGUAGCCACAGAGCUAGGAGAAGGCGGAGGUACUAGUUUGAUUUCCUCCAGGGCUCACUUCGUUUUCCGGGCUGGAUGUUGUGAUUUUCGUGGCCGACACUGGAAAUCAGCGCUGAUGAGGCGCCUUGAGAGCGCUGGGUGCCUACGGACUCUGAAGGCUGUGGUGUGCAUUGCAAACGUUCCUCACCAUUAAAUGUAGGAAAUGUCUUCUACAAACACUAGCACUCACUGCCCUCCCGCCCCAGAAGCAGUUCGUUACUGCCGUGGUGAUCUGCCACUUUGAGCACGUUUUCAAGUGGCUACUUAGCCUAGAAAGUAGGAGUCCAGAGUCCCAGCUACAUAGGUGAGGACCGGAGAGGGGAUGUUCCAUCCAGGCGGAAGAGGUAAGCAGCAAUGUGUGUUCUAGAAGCUGCAAGCCACUUAAUAUUUUAAGAGGAGGAAAAUGAAGCCCGAGUUAGGAAGCCAGGUGCUGGAGGACUUUCCGGUUGAGAGAAGAUUGUCCUUGGAGGAAGGAACAGGUAGCGACCAAAGGUAAGAGAGGAAUCAACCUCAAUAUUGGUAGGUGAAAUAACUGGAGUAGACUUAUUCAGAGUCUUCAAACUCAAGAAUAUAAACCUCUAGAAGUAUUCAGGCCAGGAGAGUUUUCAGGAAAUCAGUGUGUACAUCCUAAUUUUUAGAGUCGCCCGAGAACACACUUUUCUCCCACUUUACAAAAAAAAAAAAGGCAUACCUCUCUCCAAUCGUGAAUCAAAUCUUAACUAUGAUGUCUUGCCUAAGGGUGUACAAACCUAUGGGACACCAGACACAAGAACAAUUGGAAAUAUGAUGCAAUGAGAAGGACUUCAUCUCUGUGGAAUUCUUCCCCCAAAUCUAUAACCCCAGUCUAAUCAAGAGAAAACAGCCAAAUCCAAGUUGAGACAUUCUAGAAAAUAUCUAACCAGUACACCUCAAAACUUUUCACAUCAUGAAAGACAUGAGAAACUCUGGAGGAGACGAGGAGAUGACAACUAAAUGCAACGUAUCCUGGAUUGAAUCUUGGAAGAGGAAAGAGACAUUAGAGGCAAAAAAUGGUGAAAUCAAUAAUGUCUGUAGUUCAUAGUAUUAUAGCAAUGUUAAUUUCUUAGUUCUGAUCAAUGUACCAUGCUUCAAGAUGUCAACAUUAGGGGAAGAGCUGGGUUAAGGCUAUGUGGGGGAACUCUGCACUAUCUUUGUGACGCUUCUGUAAAUCUAAAAGUAAUUGAAAAUCUAAAUUAAAAAACUGGUGGUAGAUGACAAUGUGAUUUGGCAUA
Long non-coding RNA from Felis catus (domestic cat), 1421 nucleotides. RefSeq lists it as uncharacterized. NCBI's taxonomy places the organism in Eukaryota, Metazoa, Chordata, Mammalia, Carnivora, Felidae. The transcript has 2 exons. The record is from RefSeq and is a predicted model, not a curated record.